Molecule: ribosomal RNA, 449 nt
Filed under: uncultured bacterium
Lineage: Bacteria
Description: partial 16S ribosomal RNA
Rfam family: Bacterial small subunit ribosomal RNA
Source: RNAcentral
AACGAACGCUGGCGGCAGGCUUAACACAUGCAAGUCGAACGCCCUAGCAAUAGGGAGUGGCGCACGGGUGAGUAACGCGUGGGAAUAUACCGAGAAGUGGGGAAUAACUUUGGGAAACUAAAGCUAAUACCGCAUACGCCCGAGAGGGGAAAGAUUUAUCGCUUUUCGAUUAGCCCGCGUGAGAUUAGGUAGUUGGUGGGGUAAUGGCCUACCAAGCCUACGAUCUCUAGCUGGUCUGAGAGGAUGAUCAGCCACACUGGAACUGAGACACGGUCCAGACUCCUACGGGAGGCAGCAGUGGGGAAUAUUGGACAAUGGGGGAAACCCUGAUCCAGCCAUGCCGCGUGAAUGAUGAAGGCCUUAGGGUUGUAAAGUUCUUUCGCCGAUGAAGAUAAUGACGGUAGUCGGAGAAGAAGCCCCGGCUAACUUCGUGCCAGCAGCCGCGAUAA